GGAUUGAACGCUGGCGGCAGGCCUAACACAUGCAAGUCGAGCGGUAGAGAGGUGCUUGCACCUCUUGAGAGCGGCGGACGGGUGAGUAAUGCCUAGGAAUCUGCCUAGUGGUGGGGGAUAACGUUCGGAAACGGACGCUAAUACCGCAUACGUCCUACGGGAGAAAGCGGGGGACCUUCGGGCCUCGCGCCAUUAGAUGAGCCUAGGUCGGAUUAGCUAGUUGGUGAGGUAAUGGCUCACCAAGGCGACGAUCCGUAACUGGUCUGAGAGGAUGAUCAGUCACACUGGAACUGAGACACGGUCCAGACUCCUACGGGAGCAGCAGUGGGGAAUAGUUGGACAAGUGGGACGAAAGCCUAGACU
Molecule: ribosomal RNA, 363 nt
Filed under: uncultured soil bacterium
Lineage: Bacteria
Description: bacterial SSU rRNA
Rfam family: Bacterial small subunit ribosomal RNA
Source: RNAcentral